UUUAGUGUGGCAGAUUAGUGCCAUGAACUUAAGAUUCAUAUAUAGAAUUCUUUCUUGCUAAAA
RNAcentral lists this transfer RNA (63 nucleotides) under Leofa pulchella. Its description in RNAcentral is "tRNA-Leu". The record is from RNAcentral. Lineage: Eukaryota; Metazoa; Arthropoda; Insecta; Hemiptera; Cicadellidae.